GUGGUUGACAGAUCGAUUGAUCAUCUAUACGCGUAGUCCACUUGGCAAAUCACUCGCUCUCUUCGGAAGAAACACGUACUUGGCUUGCAUUUAACCCAGAGAUCCUCCUGUGAUUGUUGCAAAAUUAGCUCACAAAAGGGGUAGCAAGAUUCAUCAAUAUACCGACGUUUGUGGUUUUUGCAUUAAACACCAGCUGUGUGUUUUUAAGUCAGACCAAGCAUACGCAAAUCGAUAUUGAAUUUGGUAUGUUGACUAUAGGUUGUUAAAAUAUUUAUGCUUCAAUAUUUACUGUUUUAAUACGAGCACUAAUAGACGCUGUUCCAGGGACGAAUGCUUAUGUAGAAUAUUCUUGAAUGAGGAUCGCUCAUACAGCAAAACAUUUAAUAGGCCAUCAAAGACAUAUUGACGGCCUUCAAAUAUAACCUCAGUUGUAUUUAUUUCGUUAUUCCAGAUCUUUGCUUUAGAAUGUUCAAACAGGAUUACUAUAUAUUGGAUAAUUGUAUCUACCACUCGGCUUUCUCCAUAUACGUUCAAUUAUUGAGCUGAUGUAAAGUACACUCUUUACUAAAUUGUAUGCUAUGUCUUUAUUCUAUUCAGGCUUAUAUAGAAGAAGAUGUGGAUUAGCGACGUCUGUUCGCCUGUUUCGAUAUUACUGCUUAUAAUAAUCGACAAUCUUUUGUUGAAUUGCUGCAAUGCAAAGACCUCUCAAUUACAGCCAGGUAUUAUGGGCAAUUACUCGUUUAAACUCGAUUUGACUUAUUGAGACAUGUGAUAUUGCAUGUACAUUACAUCCUAGAUACUUAUAUUUGAUGUAUAUACUGCUGUUACCCGCUUAUAAAUUAUAAGUAGGAUUUAUCUGUACACCGUAGCUUAAAUAUUGUGUAGUAAAAAAAAUAGUUGAAGUUCCAGGCAAGGACGAAUUUUAGAAA
This is a non-coding RNA of Paramuricea clavata, 929 nucleotides long. NCBI's taxonomy places the organism in Eukaryota, Metazoa, Cnidaria, Anthozoa, Malacalcyonacea, Plexauridae. The record is from the annotation of a GenBank genome assembly.